UACGAAGGGGGCUAGCGUUGCUCGGAAUCACUGGGCGUAAAGGGUGCGUAGGCGGGCCUUUAAGUCAGGGGUGAAAUCCUGGAGCUCAACUCCAGAACUGCCUUUGAUACUGAAGAUCUUGAGUUCGGGAGAGGUGAGUGGAACUGCGAGUGUAGAGGUGAAAUUCGUAGAUAUUCGCAAGAACACCAGUGGCGAAGGCGGCUCACUGGCCCGAUACUGACGCUGAGGCGCGAAAGCGUGGGGAGCAAACAGG
RNAcentral lists this ribosomal RNA (253 nucleotides) under uncultured bacterium. RNAcentral describes it as "partial 16S ribosomal RNA". It matches the Rfam family "Bacterial small subunit ribosomal RNA", at positions 524 to 776 of the family's 1533-position model. The record is from RNAcentral.